GCACAGCUGAAGAGUUCCACAAUAGGACGAAACGACCUUUCAGUGC
Molecule: non-coding RNA, 46 nt
Filed under: Schistosoma margrebowiei
Lineage: Eukaryota; Metazoa; Platyhelminthes; Trematoda; Strigeidida; Schistosomatidae
Source: RNAcentral